RNAcentral lists this long non-coding RNA (3554 nucleotides) under Ixodes scapularis (black-legged tick). RNAcentral describes it as "uncharacterized LOC121835535". The record is from RNAcentral. Lineage: Eukaryota; Metazoa; Arthropoda; Arachnida; Ixodida; Ixodidae.
AGCGUGGUAUAGGACACUAGAUCUUGAGAUGCAACUCUUUCUGUCAGGGAUCCCUGGGACAAGCUCCUUCCGUAAGGACCCCGACACUUUCCACUCUUGCUGAGGUAACACUGGAGAGGAGGCGAGGGGGGACUGGUCUCCUCUCACUUUCUCUCCAAGAGAGUUUUCUGCUCAAGUGGAAAGAGUGGAGGGCAUUGUGGGAAGGAGCUUGUCCGAGGGAUGUACGGGUAGACGUUCCAACCAGAACUCUGCGUUCCGACGUCCCCGCGUGCUUCCGUCUCCUUCUCCCCCUCAAUUUCUAGCCAAAUAGACUCGGAAUAAAGUGGCCCCUGUGUGGUGCGUGUCCCGGCAGUUGCUGACACCCGUUGCCCACUGGCCGCAGGUUCGGAACGAGGAGAGCGGGCUGUGCAUCGACACGCAGUUCAAGGGCCAGAACGAGCGGUUCUCGCUGGCGCCCUGCCUCAAGGACCAGCGGGGUCGGUCCGGGGAACAGCAGCUCGUGCUCACCUGGCACAAGGACGUGCGGCCGGCCAAGCGCAGUGUCUGCUUCGACGUGUCCAGCUCGGACGUCCACGCGCCCGUCAUGCUCUGGAGCUGCCACGGCAUGCACGGCAACCAGCUGUGGAAGUACGACACGGUGACGAAGCAUUUGUUCCAUCCAAUCACCGCCAACUGCCUGGACUGUGACGCGAAAAGUCACGAAGUCUUCAUGAGUAUAUGUGAUAGUGACGUUCGCACGCAGCGAUGGCUUUUCGAACACGUCAACGAAACAGCCCUGGCCAACUGGUGAUCCGUCGUACCCCCCCUGGAAAAUCAGCGAUGUGUGACAUAAUGACGGUCCAUCCUUGGCUUUCGAACUGAAAGCAAACCAAGCCGGGUUCUUCAGCAAGGAUGGCGGGACGGUGCUUUUGAGAGAAAAAAAAAACGCACCCAUGUGUUCUAUAAGGCAUUCCGGGGAUGUCCCAACGGUGUUUCGAGGGUCGUCCAGGAUUUCCCCAAGUGGAUUUGGAGAACGUCCCGAAUACUUAUUGAAGUGGUAGCCCAAGUUACUUCUGGAUGCUGUCGGCAGUUUCGCGAGGGAGUUAUUCCAGUUUCAUUCGCGGGAUCUGUCGGAAAUACGUCGACGAUAGCAGUAAGACGGCGUUGUCUCCGCGCAAUGUGAUUCUGUGGUCUGCACUGCUGGGAACUUCAUGUGUGUCAAAAUGUGUGUCUACUCUUCCAAUUGACUAAGACGGCCGAUGCGUCGAGACAGUUUUCGCCUUCGCGGCUGGACAAGUGCGCGCUCUUUUACGCGUGUGAAGUUUAUAAGUGGCCGUGCUUGUGGGCCAGGUAUGUAAGCAUUCCUACAGCAGUAUCUCGCAGAAAGUGCGUAACGGUUUGUGAGACGCUUAAAUACGCUUCUCGUGAGUAACUAAUGCCACUGGUACGUUGUGGGACGUCUCGCUUGAACCGCCAAAAGAUCUCGAGACGGAACAGAACUACAAGAAAACUCGUCGCGUGCCAAGUCCACGACUCUUUGCUUCACUUGCGCGCCAGACCCAAAACUACGAUCGGUAUUUCAGUAACCCGAGACGAACUUUGAACUUUUUUUUCGAUCUUUUUCUCUUUCUUUCUUUCUCUCUCUCUCUUUGUCUGUGACUUUUUUUUUCAAGUGACUACAACUUCGAACAUGCUGAAGUCCGCCGUUCAGCCAUCCAACGUUAAUCAUGAUCGAUGGCCACUCCACGAAUGAGCCGAAACUUUCUUCGAACUUUUCAAGCCAUCCGUCUCUCGGAAAACGUUUUCUUCCGCUUUUAAGGCGCACUCAUCGUAAGAGCAGUAAAACAUUCGAAAGGGGCAAGGUCUAGUCCGUUACGAAGACCCCUUGUGCCUGGUAUACCUGGUAUGCCUGCGCCUGGUAUGCCAGUGACUGGUAAGCUAGGGCCUGGUAUGUCUGUGCCUGGUAUACUGGUGCCUGGUGUGCCUGGGCUUGGUAUACAUGUGGAGGUAUGCCUCUCUAGGUAUGCUUGUUCCUGGCAUGCCUGUCCCAGUAUUCAUGUCCCUGGUAUGCCGCUUCACCGCCCAUCGUUGGGACUGAAUCUGCUGUGCAUCCCAUUCACACCAUGCGCAGCAAUCCAUAGCUUUUUUUUUUUUCUCUCUAAAUUUGUUUUUCUUCGAAACUUUGGGUCCGUGCCUUUCGGUUUUAGUCACGAAGCUCAAAUGCCUUGGUGCUUUUUGAAGUGUUGGUUGUGUCUUUAUAUAUAUAUAAACAAAUACGGGGCGUACGAGAGCUGAACUUCGAUCGUUUGUGUUUGUUGUGAAUGAAGAGAUGUGCGACUGGAAGGUUAUGAGGACUAGGUUCCUCGUUAGGGUAGCGUUUUGGCCAAAAUUGAUUGUACACUGCGUCGCUCUAAUGAAGAGUGCAGCCGAUGCUACGAGCCAUUCAGGGGAGAUUAAAGAUGAGUCAUCUUUAGCCUGACCCGGCAUGCAGCUCCGGUGGUACAUGAACGCUCUAAGUCAAGUAAAUUGUCAUGCUUUCGCAUAAACCCGGGUGAGUUUAUCAAACAAUGCACACCUUAACUUCCUAGAACCUGCAUGCUUGUCAAGUCGACCAUUGUCGCGUCCAAUUGGCUCACAAAGAAAACUACCUAGCGUACUCUAAAGUGUAGAUAACGAACCUAUAAACAGGGACAGAGAUAUUAAUGUUUAAAAUAUCAGCUGUCUUAAUCUCAGUCUUAAUUUGCUUUUACUACCAACGUGAUCCUGUAAAUCCUUUAAUAAGAUUUUUUUUAAUAUUAUAGUUACGAAAUGCUUAAGAAACGCAGGGCAUGGUGAUUCCCUAUCAUCGGAUGGAUGGAUGGAUGCUAACGGCUGUAUCUUUUAUAACGGGCGGUAGCUUGCGCCACCUAGCCUAUUAUCUUUUCGCGACCAAUCAGAUUGUGGCAAUGGACAGUACGAAUGUUGAAGAACGAACCAGGAACCAAGAAGCGAGAAGGUAGUAAAUAAACCACGCCCUGCGUUCCUUAACAUGUCACUGACUAUAGAAAAAAUGUUCUGUAAUUUAAAGAUGCUUUCAGCGAAGGUGUUUUUUUGCUUCUCAUUCGGCUGGGACCGUGAUACGUUUCGGAAGUGAUUUCGUCGCACCGUAGGCCAUCGUUUUCCUCGCGCUCUUUAUUUUUUAUGUCUUUGUUUUAUUUUUUCAUCUUAGAACAGAUUGUUUUCCUUAAAAGAGUUGCGAUUGUGUACAUGUGUGUGCUUGUGGUACUUCACGUGCUGGUACAGGGUGCGUAGUACUUUCACUUGAUCUUGUUACAAGAACCAUUCCGAUCUUUCACUGACAAUUUAAGUGUUCUUGGUGAACGUGCCCUUUCCUUCUUGCUACUCCGUCGAAACUCAAAAUACCGACGUGAUUGAGACUUGUGCUCGAAAGUGCUCUUCGACAAAGAUAAACAAAGCAAAAAAUAAAAUGGCACGUCGUUAUUUUUGAUGGAGAGCUAGAAGGCGUUUCUUUAGAUGGGGAACGAGUAUGGUCUGACGAAAAGAACUUCGAAAAUAAAAGUUGUUUUCUUUUUGUU